Molecule: long non-coding RNA, 471 nt
Organism: Sipha flava (yellow sugarcane aphid)
Lineage: Eukaryota; Metazoa; Arthropoda; Insecta; Hemiptera; Aphididae
Exons: 3
Source: RefSeq, a predicted model, not a curated record
GAUAUUUUGCACUAUCGUUCGAAAUUUUAAUCAGUCGUUUCAUAAACAUGUCCCGGUAAUAGUUACUACGUAUUUAGUCUGGUUUAAGCGCCCAUUUUAAAUUGAUUUUUUUUUUUCGAUGAACACGAACAAGUCAAUCAGGUGCCGUAACAAAAUGACAAGAACCAAAAAGGUAAGUAACUGUGCAUUCAAUGAAGGACGACUACCAACACGUCAUAUGCAAGUCUUUGAUAGUGGAUAUACGGUGGUGUAUGUUACUAUGAUGUACCUUAUAACAAAACUUAAGUACUCGGUGGCGGGCCGAAAGGCUCAAGUUUAAUGUACUUGCGUCAACUUGUCAAAGGUGGUAGUACCACUCCGUGCUGAAUUACAAACAAGACCCGACUUCUUGGCUCUUUUGAUCAAAUUUUAUUUAGAUUAUAAUCUAUUUAUACAUAAAUUUGUUAUAAGUAAAUAAUGUUUAUUAGACUA